RNAcentral lists this transfer RNA (75 nucleotides) under Bacteroidota bacterium. RNAcentral's name for it is "Bacteroidetes bacterium (activated sludge metagenome) tRNA-Pro". It matches the Rfam family "tRNA". Rfam says of the family: Transfer RNA (tRNA) molecules are approximately 80 nucleotides in length. Their secondary structure includes four short double-helical elements and three loops (D, anti-codon, and T loops). Lineage: Bacteria; Pseudomonadati; Bacteroidota. RNAcentral also lists the same sequence under 2 other names. The record is from RNAcentral.
CGGGGUGUAGCGUAGCCCGGUUAUCGCGCCUGCUUUGGGAGCAGGAGGUCGAGAGUUCGAAUCCCUCCACCCCGA